This 465-nucleotide ribosomal RNA is filed under the name Vreelandella stevensii. Its description in RNAcentral is "partial 16S ribosomal RNA". It matches the Rfam family "Bacterial small subunit ribosomal RNA", at positions 338 to 795 of the family's 1533-position model. Lineage: Bacteria; Pseudomonadati; Pseudomonadota; Gammaproteobacteria; Oceanospirillales; Halomonadaceae. The record is from RNAcentral.
CCUACGGGCGGCAGCAGUGGGGAAUAUUGGACAAUGGGGGCAACCCUGAUCCAGCCAUGCCGCGUGUGUGAAGAAGGCCCUCGGGUUGUAAAGCACUUUCAGUGAGGAAGAACGCCUGGUGGUUAAUACCCAUCAGGAAAGACAUCACUCACAGAAGAAGCACCGGCUAACUCCGUGCCAGCAGCCGCGGUAAUACGGAGGGUGCGAGCGUUAAUCGGAAUUACUGGGCGUAAAGCGCGCGUAGGUGGCUUGAUAAGCCGGUUGUGAAAGCCCCGGGCUCAACCUGGGAACGGCAUCCGGAACUGUCAAGCUAGAGUGCAGGAGAGGAAGGUAGAAUUCCCGGUGUAGUGGUGAAAUGCGUAGAGAUCGGGAGGAAUACCAGUGGCGAAGGCGGCCUUCUGGACUGACACUGACACUGAGGUGCGAAAGCGUGGGUAGCAAACAGGAUUAGAUACCCCUGUAGUC